This 480-nucleotide ribosomal RNA is filed under the name uncultured bacterium. RNAcentral describes it as "partial 16S ribosomal RNA". It matches the Rfam family "Bacterial small subunit ribosomal RNA", at positions 28 to 507 of the family's 1533-position model. The record is from RNAcentral.
GACGAACGCUGGCGGCGUGCUUAACACAUGCAAGUCGAACGAUGAAGAAAAGAAUUGCAGCUUCGGCAGAAAUUCAUUUCGGAUUAGUGGCAGACGGGUGAGUAACGCGUGAGCAACCUACCUCUUACAAAGGGAUAGCCUCGGGAAACCGGGAUUAAUACCAUAUAACAUUGCGACGAAGCAUUUCGAUGCAAUCAAAGCUACGGCGGUAAGAGAUGGGCUCGCGUCCCAUUAACCAGAUGGUGAGGUAACGGCUCACCAUAGUAACGAUGGGUAACCGGCCUGAGAGGGUGAACGGUCACACUGGAACUGAGACACGGUCCAGACUCCUACGGGAGGCAGCAGUGGGGAAUAUUGCACAAUGGAGGGAACUCUGAUGCAGCGACGCCGCGUGAGUGAUGAAGGAAUUCGUUUCGUAAAACUCUGUUCUAUGGGAAGAAAAGGACUGUACCAUAGGAGAAAGCUCCGGCUAACUACGUG